GCGUAGCUCAGUUGGUAGAGCAACUGACUUUUAAUCAGUAGGUCCAGGGUUCGAGCCCCUGCG
RNAcentral lists this transfer RNA (63 nucleotides) under Nitratireductor aquibiodomus. It matches the Rfam family "tRNA", at positions 6 to 65 of the family's 71-position model. Rfam says of the family: Transfer RNA (tRNA) molecules are approximately 80 nucleotides in length. Their secondary structure includes four short double-helical elements and three loops (D, anti-codon, and T loops). The record is from RNAcentral. Lineage: Bacteria; Pseudomonadati; Pseudomonadota; Alphaproteobacteria; Hyphomicrobiales; Phyllobacteriaceae. RNAcentral also lists the same sequence under 4 other names.